RNAcentral lists this ribosomal RNA (492 nucleotides) under uncultured bacterium. Its description in RNAcentral is "partial 16S ribosomal RNA". It matches the Rfam family "Bacterial small subunit ribosomal RNA", at positions 29 to 507 of the family's 1533-position model. The record is from RNAcentral.
AGUGAACGCUGGCGGUAGGCCUAACACAUGCAAGUCGAACGGCAGCACAGUAAGAGCUUGCUCUUACGGGUGGCGAGUGGCGGACGGGUGAGGAAUACAUCGGAAUCUACUUUUUCGUGGGGGAUAACGUAGGGAAACUUACGCUAAUACCGCAUACGACCUACGGUUGAAAGCAGGGGAUCUUCGGACCUUGCGCGAUUGAAUGAGCCGAUGUCGGAUUAGCUAGUUGGCGGGGUAAAGGCCCACCAAGGCGACGAUCCGUAGCUGGUCUGAGAGGAUGAUCAGCGACACUGGAACUGAGACACGGUCCAGACUCCUACGGGAGGCAGCAGUGGGGAAUAUUGGACAAUGGGCGCAAGCCUGAUCCAGCCAUACCGCGUGGGUGAAGAAGGCCUUCGGGUUGUAAAGCCCUUUUGUUGGGAAAGAAAAGCAGCAGGUUAAUACCCCGCUGUUCUGACGGUACCCAAAGAAUAAGCACCGGCUAACUUCGUG